ACGAAGUUGAGAACCAAUGAGAAGCGGCGGGUGAGGUGGCGCAAGUAAGUGAGGAUUUCUGGCGGGACGAAAUCUUUGACUGUGCUGCGGAGGACGGCGACGGAUGCUAGGACGGAGAGUGUUGCGCCCAUUUUUUAUUUAAUAUUUUGGAUUGGAUUGGACGGAGGGUGAUGGUUUGGCGGGGAAACGUCAAGUGAGCUUUUAUUAUUGAUGAUGGUGAUCACUGACUCAGUGAGCAGGGGUUUGAGUAAAUGGUUUAAGUAGUACGUAAGUGGUGGCCCAAAGAGGUGGCUGCUACGUAAUUUCUUCUGCCGGUACGUAGGAGAAGACGACAAACGGCUAUUGGCCGUAGGUAGGAAGUGCGACGAAAAAUGGGUGGUCAUUUCGAACUUGUUUCCCUUUUCUUCGCGCACAAGCAAAUUAUAAAACGACGUCUUUUUCUACUUCUGGUUUUGUACUUUUUCACUUUUCAUGUCUUUUUAUGUUAUUUUUAAUGAUUAAAACAAAAUUG
RNAcentral lists this long non-coding RNA (511 nucleotides) under Linum usitatissimum (flax). Its description in RNAcentral is "long non-coding RNA (LUSI_LNC006023)". Lineage: Eukaryota; Viridiplantae; Streptophyta; Magnoliopsida; Malpighiales; Linaceae. The record is from RNAcentral.